Molecule: ribosomal RNA, 669 nt
Filed under: uncultured bacterium
Lineage: Bacteria
Description: bacterial SSU rRNA
Rfam family: Bacterial small subunit ribosomal RNA
Source: RNAcentral
GGGACAACCGCUGGAAACGGCGGCUAAUACCGGGUACUCCGGGAGGGCCCCAUGGCCCUGCCGGGAAAGCCGAGACGGCGCGGGAUGGGGUCGCGGCCCAUUAGGUAGACGGCGGGGUAACGGCCCACCGUGCCCGCGAUGGGUAGCCGGACUGAGAGGUCGACCGGCCACAUUGGGACUGAGAUACGGCCCAGACUCCUACGGGAGGCAGCAGUGGGGAAUUUUGCGCAAUGGGGGAAACCCUGACGCAGCAACGCCGCGUGCGGGACGAAGGCCCUCGGGUUGUAAACCGCUUUCAGCAGGGAAGACUUUACGACGGUACCUGCAGAAGAAGCUCCGGCUAACUACGUGCCAGCAGCCGCGGUAAUACGUAGGGGGCGAGCGUUAUCCGGAUUCAUUGGGCGUAAAGCGCGCGUAGGCGGCCGCCUAAGCGGGACCUCUAACCCCGGGGCUCAACCCCGGGCCGGGUCCCGGACUGGGCGGCUCGAGUGCGGUAGAGGAGAGCGGAAUUCCCGGUGUAGCGGUGGAAUGCGCAGAUAUCGGGAAGAACACCGAUGGCGAAGGCAGCUCUCUGGGCCGUCACUGACGCUGAGGCGCGAAAGCUGGGGGAGCGAACAGGAUUAGAUACCCUGGUAGUCCCAGCCGUAAACGAUGGACGGUAGGUGUGGG